Molecule: ribosomal RNA, 639 nt
Filed under: uncultured bacterium
Lineage: Bacteria
Description: bacterial SSU rRNA
Rfam family: Bacterial small subunit ribosomal RNA
Source: RNAcentral
UCGAGCGAAGUUUUUAAAGCGGAUCCCUUCGGGGUGAAACUUUAAUUAUCUUAGCGGCGGACGGGUGAGUAACGCGUGAGAAACCUGCCUUUCACAAAGGGAUAGCCUCGGGAAACUGGGAUUAAUACCUUAUGAUACUUCUACUUCACAUGAAGAAAAAGUUAAAGCGUAAAGCGGUGAAAGAUGGUCUCGCGUCCCAUUAGCUAGUUGGUGAGGUAAUAGCUUACCAAGGCGACGAUGGGUAGCCGGCCUGAGAGGGUGAACGGCCACACUGGAACUGAGACACGGUCCAGACUCCUACGGGAGGCAGCAGUGGGGAAUAUUGCACAAUGGAGGAAACUCUGAUGCAGCGACGCCGCGUGAACGAUGAAGGCUUUCGGGUCGUAAAGUUCUGUCCUAGGGGACGAUAAUGACGGUACCCUAGGAGGAAGCCCCGGCUAACUACGUGCCAGCAGCCGCGGUAAUACGUAGGGGGCAAGCGUUGUCCGGAUUUAUUGGGCGUAAAGGGUUCGCAGGUGGUCCUUUAAGUCAGAUGUGAAAGAUCACAGCUCAACUGUGGUAAGCAUUUGAAACUGAAGGACUUGAGUUAAGGAGAGGAAAGUGGAAUUCCUAGUGUAGCGGUGAAAUGCGUAGAUAUUA